RNAcentral lists this ribosomal RNA (443 nucleotides) under uncultured bacterium. Its description in RNAcentral is "partial 16S ribosomal RNA". It matches the Rfam family "Bacterial small subunit ribosomal RNA", at positions 338 to 795 of the family's 1533-position model. The record is from RNAcentral.
CCUACGGGUGGCAGCAGUGGGGAAUAUUGGGCAAUGGGCGCAAGCCUGACCCAGCAACGCCGCGUGAAGGAAGAAGGCUUUCGGGUUGUAAACUUCUUUUCUCAGGGACGCAGAAAGUGACGGUACCUGAGGAAUAAGCCACGGCUAACUACGUGCCAGCAGUCGCGGGAAUCCGUAGGUGGCAAGCGUUAACCGGAUUCAUUGGGUGUAAAGGGCGUGUAGGCGGGAGCGCAAGUCAGAUGUGAAAACUCAGGGCUCAACCCUGAUCCUGCAUUUGAAACUGGGUUUCUUGAGUGCUGGAGAGGCAAUCGGAAUGCCGGGUGUAGCGGUGAAAUGCGUAGAUAUACGGAGGAACACCAGUGGCGAAGGCAGAUUGCUGGACAGUAACUGACGCUGAGGCGCGAAAGCGUGGGGAGCGAACAGGAUUAGAUACCCUAGUAGUC